CAUGAAAAGGAAUCUCCUUUAUUACAUUGUGGAAAUUAUCUCUUCCCUCCUUUUCCUCUUUCCUCUCUCUCUUUUACUAAAUUAUACUUCCUCCUCAAAUUGCCUCCAUUUCUUUCUAAAUUAACCAAAGUUGUCUAGCAUCAGAGGAAACUUUAGAUUUUUCUUUCUCAUGGGUGUUGCUGUUCUUAAUCCUCAUGAUUCCCUCCAGAAUCCUUUUUCUUCUCGACAAGAUUUGAUAUCGCCUCCUCCUCGCAUGAAACAUCCUCGAAACGCCAAUUGGCCAAAUCCGAACCGGCCGAAUCGGGCUCAACCCAACCGUAGGAAGCGUAGCCCCAACACAUCACCUCCCUCACGCGCCGCCGUUGCUGCUUCUCAUGUCCCAGCCAAUAACCUGAUUAUGGGCCAUGUCAAAAUUCUUAAGCGCGGUGAACAAUUAGCUAAAACGACGCCGGAGAAGGUGUCUCAGUCUGCUAAAGUUGAGAAAAUUGAAGAUCUAGAUCUGGGUUCGACUCAUUGGCUUGGCCCAGAACCUGAGCUGGUACCAACUCAGAUCAGACUCUCUGAGUCUAAAGCAUAUGGCUUUUAUGCUGGAUCGGCUUUUAUUACUUCGCCGCCACCCAGUUCGCUUCCUUUGCCGGCUUUUUUCAUGAAAAAGAGUGUUGUGGGUGUGAAGAACACCGAUGCUACUAGUGAUUUACGACGGAUUCUAGGCCUCAGCUUCUAGUUAAUAGGCCAUAGAAUUUAGGGGUGUGAUGUGAAGGUUUCUCUUUUGUGUUUUCAACGGGUCUUCUCUUAUUUUUUCAAGGGGAAGAUCGAGUUUGCUUUAUCAACUACGCGAUUGUGCAAUUAGGCACUUUCGCGGUACCUAAUUAGUGAUGCUAAUGUAUCGCUUUGGUUAGGAUUAGCUAAAUUAUAUCUGCAUAGGAUCUAGUUGGGGUAUGGUUUGGGAUUUGGGGGAUUUUGUGGUUUGUUGUUUGUCUUUUUUAAGUACUGUUACUUAGAUGCAGCUGAUAUUAUUGUACCUGGGAAUUAGUUUGUGUAUUAUCUUGUAUGCAGCUAUAAGUUGUCUGAAUGAAA
Molecule: unclassified non-coding RNA, 1077 nt
Filed under: Hevea brasiliensis (rubber tree)
Lineage: Eukaryota; Viridiplantae; Streptophyta; Magnoliopsida; Malpighiales; Euphorbiaceae
Source: RNAcentral